RNAcentral lists this transfer RNA (73 nucleotides) under Capra hircus (goat). It matches the Rfam family "tRNA". Rfam says of the family: Transfer RNA (tRNA) molecules are approximately 80 nucleotides in length. Their secondary structure includes four short double-helical elements and three loops (D, anti-codon, and T loops). Further hydrogen bonds mediate the characteristic L-shaped molecular structure. tRNAs have two regions of fundamental functional importance: the anti-codon, which is responsible for specific mRNA codon recognition, and the 3' end, to which the tRNAs corresponding amino acid is attached (by aminoacyl-tRNA synthetases). tRNAs cope with the degeneracy of the genetic code in two manners: having more than one tRNA (with a specific anti-codon) for a particular amino acid; and 'wobble' base-pairing, i.e. permitting non-standard base-pairing at the 3rd anti-codon position. The record is from Rfam by way of RNAcentral. Lineage: Eukaryota; Metazoa; Chordata; Mammalia; Artiodactyla; Bovidae. RNAcentral also lists the same sequence under 1 other name.
UCCAUGGCAGUCCAGUGGUUAGGAUUCAUUACUUUCACUGCUGGGAGCCUGGGUUCAAUCCCUAGUCAGGGAA